This 492-nucleotide ribosomal RNA is filed under the name uncultured bacterium. Its description in RNAcentral is "partial 16S ribosomal RNA". It matches the Rfam family "Bacterial small subunit ribosomal RNA", at positions 38 to 507 of the family's 1533-position model. The record is from RNAcentral.
GGGGGGGGGGGGGGGUGGGGCGAACAGAGGCAAGGCGAGGGGCAGCACAGUAAGAGCUUGCUCUGACGGGUGGCGAGUGGCGGACGGGUGAGGAAUACAUCGGAAUCUACUUUUUCGUGGGGGAUAACGUAGGGAAGCUGACGCUAAUACCGCAUACGACCUACGGGUGAAAGCAGGGGAUCUUCAGACCUUGCGCGAUGGAGUGAGCCGAUGUCGGACUAGCUAGUUGGCGGGGUAAGGGCCCACCAAGGCGACGAUCCGUAGCUGGUCUGAGAGGAUGAUCAGCCACACUGGAACUGGGACACGGUCCAGACUCCUACGGGAGGCAGCAGUGGGGAAUAUUGGACAAUGGGCGCAAGCCUGAUCCAGCCAUACCGCGUGGGUGAAGAAGGCCUUCGGGUUGUAAAGCCCUUUUGUUGGGAAAGAAAAGCAGCAGGUUAAUACCCCGCUGUUCUGACGGUACCCAAAGAAUAAGCACCGGCUAACUUCGUG